Molecule: unclassified non-coding RNA, 273 nt
Filed under: Sistotrema coronilla
Lineage: Eukaryota; Fungi; Basidiomycota; Agaricomycetes; Cantharellales; Hydnaceae
Description: partial internal transcribed spacer region
Rfam family: Eukaryotic small subunit ribosomal RNA (bases 1-46)
Source: RNAcentral
AAGUCGUAACAAGGUUUCCGUAGGUGAACCUGCGGAAGGAUCAUUAAUGAAUUUGGAGAAUUGAUGCUGGCCUUUGUGCAUGUGCUCGUUCUCUUUAAUCCAUACACACCUGUGCACUUUGGACUUUGGGGUUCGCACUCUUGUGCAGUCGGUCGACUCUGCUCGACCUGGACCCUAAGGUACUUUUUUCCACACAUGCCGAAUGUGAUAGAAUGUAACUCGUGCUCAGUCGCACAUCUAAUACAACUUUCAACAACGGAUCUCUUGGCUCUC